AGUGAACGCUGGCGGCAGGCCUAAUACAUGCAAGUCGAGCGACCACACGAUAAGCGUUCUCCUCUAACGGUGGCGACGGACGGAUGAGUAACACAUAGAUAACCUACCUAUAAUUCUUGGGGAACUUCGUGAAGACACUGCUGAUACCGCAUAAUAUGUUCUACCGCAUAAAUCAAUAGUUAAAGACACUUUGCCUGUCACUUAGAGCUGAAUCCGCGCCGCAUUAGCUAGUUGGUAAGGUAACGGCUUACCAAGGCAACGAUGCGUAGCCGACCUGAGAGGGUGAUCGGCCACACUGGAACUGAGACACGGUCCAGACUCCUACGGGAGGCAGCAGUAGGGAAUAUUCCGCAAUGGGCGCAAGCCUGAUGGAGCAACGCCGCGUGAGUGAUGAAGGUCUUCGGAUUGUAAAACUCUGUUAUUAGGGAAGAAAAAAAGUGUAAGUAACUAUGCACGUUUUGACGGUACCUAAACAGAAAGCAACGGCUAACUACGUG
RNAcentral lists this ribosomal RNA (497 nucleotides) under uncultured bacterium. RNAcentral describes it as "partial 16S ribosomal RNA". It matches the Rfam family "Bacterial small subunit ribosomal RNA", at positions 29 to 507 of the family's 1533-position model. The record is from RNAcentral.